UGCGCAGGCGGCAUCGCAAGUCAGGCGUGAAAUCCCCGGGCUUAACCUGGGAAUGGCGCUUGAAACUACGGUGCUGGAGUAUGGCAGAGGGAGGUGGAAUUCCACGUGUAGCGGUGAAAUGCGUAGAGAUGUGGAGGAACACCGAUGGCGAAGGCAGCCUCCUGGGCCAAUACUGACGCUCAUGCACGAAAGCGUGGGGAGCAAACA
Molecule: ribosomal RNA, 207 nt
Filed under: uncultured bacterium
Lineage: Bacteria
Description: partial 16S ribosomal RNA
Rfam family: Bacterial small subunit ribosomal RNA
Source: RNAcentral